This is a long non-coding RNA of Pezoporus occidentalis (night parrot), 1758 nucleotides long. RefSeq lists it as uncharacterized. The transcript is spliced from 3 exons. The record is from RefSeq and is a predicted model, not a curated record. Lineage: Eukaryota; Metazoa; Chordata; Aves; Psittaciformes; Psittacidae.
CAUCCACCAGUUUGGUUGGUAACUGAAGUCAUUUGGUAUUGAUUACUGCUAGUGGAACUUUAUAUGGCAACAGAUCUAAGAAAAAGGACCUCUACCUUUUAAAAUGGUUCACAAUAGUGAAACAGUAUUGUUACAAUUGGGAAGCUUUCAGCAUAGGCUUACAAAUAGCUGGUAACGUUCUGAAUACUUACAGCCACUUAACAGCAUAGAAUCAUAGAAUGGUUAGGAUUGGAAAAGACCUUAAGAUCAUCUAGUUACACCCCCCCUGCCAUAGGCAGGGACACCUCACACUAGACCAUGAGCAGCACCACCCAAGCAUGAAGAGGUGGAGUUUCUUUCAACAAGCAUAUCACUUUAUUUAGCAUGCCCCAUCACAAAGAGGAAAUCUCAGUAGAUCAGUGCAAGUCUCCACAGACCACAGUGGGUCUUCAAACAAGCCUUUAUGUGGGAACAGCUUUGUGCAGAUACAAUCUGUCUACAAAUGUAGCCACAAGCUAGAAGAUAACUUCUGUACUAUUUAAAGAAGUGUCAAAUGGGAAAGGUAAUCACCCAUCCCUUGUGGGCCUCAUUUGACCUUCAUCUAACAUUUUUCCAUGGAUGUAUCACUGAGCAAGGCCAAAUGUGGCCACACACCAUCAAUUAUGAAAACACCCAUAGAAAAGAUACAGUGUGGUGAAGAAUGAUAUGAACAAAUCUGGAUGACAUUUAACAUAAGAGUUAAUGGUCAUAUUGUUCUUGGGGUUUAUUGAAAAUUACCAGGCAGGCUCUGGAAAAUAUGUGCUGUUGGGAAUCUGUUCAGAGUUUUUAUCAAAGCUUCCUUGCAAUUAGUGGCAAAUUACUGCUCAUUCCUCUGGAAUUCCUUGAAAUAAGAUCACCCUGAUUUCAGCCUGAUACUAUUCAUGGCCUCACAAUCUGCAGCUAUAUGGGAAACAUAUUCUAAUAAUAAAUGCAAUAGCACGUAUUUGUGUGGCAAGCAGCAGUGAUAAAACCUUAGCACCAUUCAAUAAGCAUUUUCACCAUCAAGGGGCUUAACUUGCCAACCUCAAUCUUUACAGCUGUCUCUAAGGUGUGUGAUCGGUUUAUCUCAGUAAAUGCAGUGAUAGGAGUGGCUAAUCUCUGCAUCCCAAGGCUGGAAGGUCACACCCUGAUAAACUCAGUGCUGGCAUGACAAUGUACUGCAGCUCACUCUGCCAUCUCAGACAGUGAAGGCACACAUAUGGGAGUUGCUUGCCUGAGGCCGGGGUGCUGGAGCUGAACCAGGAGCCAGGAGUUUAAGGAGCCUGUUGGCCUCAUCCUCCCAGCACUUGCAAACAUCUCGGCUUCUGGACUGCUUUUCCCUUGCACCUCAGAAAGGGGAAUUCUUUCACUUUCCAAGACUGAUUUCUCCCUGGGGGUCACCUGAAGUCCCAGGGCUUUAUCCAGCAGAGAAAUGCAGACAGUCAACUUCAUGUGCAGCUGUGUGACCACUGGUUUCAAGGAGCACCAGAGAUGCAUUUGCAUUUAUGCCACUGCAGGAUCAGUUCAUGGUCGUUUAUUUUACUUAGGUGUGCUUGCAACAAAGCAAGGAUGGAAAGUGCUUUAUUUUAUGUGGAAAAGAAAAUGGGAGGGGAAGAGGAAAAAUGAUGCAGUCACCAGAAAAUUAUUUGAAACAGUAACAAAGUGUUAAUAGUCUAAUGAAGAGGAGAGAUGGAACACAAACCUACAAAGCUUGUUGCAUGGUUGUAUUUUGUUUAAUAAGAGAAUUUAUUUUUAAGUGAA